GGGGGCACAUGCGGCAGCUACUACAUGCAGUCGAACGAAGAUUCAGUCUUUCGUGAUUGACGAGAGAGUAACAUGGAUGCAUCUACCCUUUGCCCCGAACUUCUCCAUUAAAAUUGUGCUAAUACUGCCAUAAUUCUUUCCGGAUGACGCUUUGUGUUCCCUUGGAAGAGCCGGCACUUAGAUAUCUUGUUGGCUGGGUAAUGGCCUACACUAACUUUGAGUCGUAGCUGAUUCCCACACGAAGAGCGACUCCUUUGGGACCGAAAAGGAGCCCCCACUCCUAUGGCACUGAGAUACGGGGAAUAUUGCUCCAUGAAGGAAACUCUGAUGCUACUGUGCCGCGUGAGUGAACAAGGCCUUUGCGUUGUAAAGCUCUUUCGACGGCGAACAGAAUGACUGUACCCUAAUAACAAGGUCCAGCUAACUUCUGGCCGGCAAAUUGCCGGUACCUGAUGAAUCUACACCAGCUAACUCCUAGUGAGCUUACACAGUUCUAAGGAGGUUGAAAAAGUUGUCGGUAAAUUCUCAGAUCUUAGCUCUGGAACUGCCAUCUUUACUUUUCAGCUAAAGUUUGACAGAUCAAACCAAAAUUUCUAGUGUAUACUUGAAAUUCUGAGAUAUUAAAAAGAAUAUCGAUUGCGAAGGCGUCUUUCUGGAUCAUUACUGACACUGAGGAACGACAGCAUGUCUAUUGAAUAUUAUUCUAUACCCCCGUAUUCCAUGCCGUAGACGAUGUGUGUUACACGUUGGAAAUUU
RNAcentral lists this ribosomal RNA (756 nucleotides) under uncultured bacterium. RNAcentral's name for it is "bacterial SSU rRNA". It matches the Rfam family "Bacterial small subunit ribosomal RNA", at positions 31 to 832 of the family's 1533-position model. The record is from RNAcentral.